CCGCUCAUUCACAACCGUCGGAUCGCCCGAUUGGUUAAGCAGGAGCAAUAAAUAACGCCCACCACGCCUUUUCCAACGCUCACGCCCAUUCGUUUCUCUCCUCACCUUGUCUCUCUCUCUCUCUCUCUCUCUCUCUCUCUCUCUCUCCCCUUCAUUUUCCUUAGAUCUACUCUUCGUCAUCUCUCUUCUCUGAAUUAUAUCUUCGAAUCGAGAUUCAUCGAUCGACGAUCUACGUUUCGAUUAUGAAUUCGGGCGAUUCCGUCGAGCGACUCGUUCUCGAUCGUCCUUCCAGAAGUUCACGGUGCACGACGCUGGUAUCCUUUGGCCAUGUCUUCAGAUCGGUGUAUCUGUUGCCGAAUCUGGAAGAUCCAUUGAGGUCUCGAUGUCUGAUGAGGAAUCGUGUUUCGACUUGGAACUUCCAUAUGGCUGGAAACCUGGAUGCGUUGACAGAAACUUCCAAUGUUUAAUUAAUUGAGAUCUGGUGCUGUUUGAUUGGUGCAAUUAAUGAAGAUCUGCUUCUGUUCUCCUUCUGAUUCCGUUGUUUAAUUAAUGGAGAUCUGGUGCUGUUUGAUCGAUAAUUAAUGGAGAUCUGCUUGUGUUCUCCUUCUGAAAGGAUUGUUGACGGCUUGCGGAAAACAAAUGAAGGCCUACAAAGGGUUUUCUGGAUGCCAACUUAUUGUUGUGCUUUACUAUGGUGAUGUUUUUCUAUCAUGCUCCAAGCAUACAUUAAUUCUGUAAGUAAAGUAGUUUGUAUGGGCGUGUGGAAAGUAGUGUGAAAAAAUUGAGAUGUGAGUUACAAAAUGGAUGUCACCUGACCUUUGCCAUGUCAGGUGCGCUUGCAUGGCAGGUCAACAAGUACCUAAUAAAAUUAUCUUUUUUGUGUUUUGGAGGGAGAUGGCACGGGGUUUUGCCCGGCUCUCCCUCCUGGGUGUCCUGUGUCGUUCGUGGUUUAUUUCUCCAUUAUCCUAUUCCCAAGCAGUUGUUCUUGGGUUGUCUUCAUUGCCUCUAGAAUGGUUUAUUCUAAAUCAUUUUGAGGCCAUGUGACACCCACCUGCCAAAUUUAUGCAUAGAGCAAGCAAACGCAAGGAUGGGAAGCAUGGUGACUACUCAUUCAAAGAGGUACAAACGACAUAUGCCUUUCAGUUUAUUUUGGCACUUGCUUUUUUGACUUGCUGAUAUAAACUACAUCACAUAAAUUAUAUUAUUAUUAACAUGAAAACUUACUGAAUAUAUUUUGUAAGUUUCAUACACUUUAGACGUCUGAGUUAACAUGGAUUCUUCAAAAUGAAUAAAGCACCUUACACAUGUUGAUAUAGUAGUUGGACUUUAACCCAACAAACAUGUUUUUCUGAUUCCUAUUUUUCAAGAGCUGAAUGUAGUACUAAGACAAUCAGGAAUCACCAAUUUACGGUAUACAAGAUGUAAACUUCCUAUGUAGCAAGGAUACUUGGUUGGGGUUCACGUACCCGUGUUGAGACUAGGGACGCUUGUUGGACUUGGAGUCCACACUCAAAACCAAAGUCUAUAUAUAUUUUUAUCAGAGUUUAUUGUUUGGACACAAUUGGGAUACUAAAAAUGCUCCAAGACACCCUCGAGGAACUUGAUAAGUCAGGGUGUUAACCGUAAUAGUGGACUAUAAUUGACUUGGUCAAGUCUUAUUUUUCAUGUGGGGGGAGAUGUUUUAUUGACUAUGAAGACAUAUUAAUGAUGGAAUGCUUUUUAAAAUGUAUUAGUUAGUCUUAACUUUCAUAUAAACAAAUUCGAUUGGAUUUUUUGACAACAUGUUUUACAUUAAUUAGUAUUAUAUUUUUUAAAAUGUGCCCCAACUUGUCAUUCCUUUAGUUUUUUAAAAAUAUAUGCAAGUGAUGUGUCUUUGUCGGAGCUACAUAGGAAAUGUGUGUUGAUAUUCAUAAAUAUUCUGGUGUGUUCCCAUUUCCUCGAAAUUCUAUUCAAACGCACCCCCAUCAGAUGUCUGCACAUGCUCAACCAUGUACAAGUUCAUGCAACAUACCACUCCAUUACACAAAUUUCGGGCUCCUCAUAUACUGCACAUUGUGUUGGGGGGCCAUGUUAUGUGAGUCUGUUCAAGUGUUUAAAAUGUGUAUAAGUAGCACUGUCGAAAUAAUUUGCACUCAUUAUAAAACUUAUUCAGCAACAUGACACGAAUCACUACGUUUUUGUAACUCAUUCUCCGAUUAUUCAAAAUAAAUAUAUAGAUAGGUACUUGAACCAAUGAGGUAAUGACUCAACUUGAUUCUGUAAUGAUCUUGUUUGAACGUUCAUAUUCAUGUGAAACUUGAGCAUUAUAAUCUUGGAUGCUCAUAACCAUACGGUUGAGUUACUUGAUCCCAAUCCAUUCUCCAAUAAUAGCACAAUAAAGAAUCCAAUCUGACCAUCUGUUUAGUUUAUCAUAUUGAUUGCAAUUAUGUGGUACAUAUCAAAGCAUACAUUAACCGAAGAGAGAUGAUAGUUUACUUGACUUUCAAUUGGAGGUAUCUUUUUUGUUCCUGUGAAAUCUGAUCUUCUAUGUUGUAUAGUGCUUUUAUUGGUUCGGAUGUGUAAGAGUUGGUUGCUUCAGUUGUUAUUGUCCACUAGAUCAUGUAUAAGAUAUGGUUCUAUAUUUGUAACCGUUCUGAGUUGUGGCUUUGGGCCUUUGGAGCAUCGGCUUUGGUGUGGAUGAGAGCGCAGGGCUUUUCUUCCUCAUGGGUACUUGUAUACUGGAUUCAAAUUGUCUCUCUUGUAACCUGGUAUAGGAGGUGAAGCUCAAGGUUUACGUGGAGCUGUCUGUCUUGUUAUUCAGUUGUAGCUGUGGAUUCGCGGGCUUUGAUGUAGUACUUGGAGUAAGUCUGAGUGGAGAUCUCUAUAUGCUUCAGUUGGUGUUAUUGCGUGGUGUGCUUUUGCUGAGCGGAGACUACAUUGCUCAACGGAUUGCUGUAAUCUUGGUGCUGUUGGUGGUCAGGAACUACUAUUUCUCUAUACCUCACUGUGCUCUCACUAUGCUAUUGUCAAAAAAAUGACCUUUGCCAUGUCAGGUGCGCUUGCAUGGCAGGUCAAAAAAUAACUAAUAGAAUGUUCCUUUGUUGUUUGAGGGAGAUGGCAUGGGGUUUUGCCCGGCUCUCCCUUCUGUGUCCUGUGUCUCUUUUAUUGUUCCUGUCAUUUAUUUCUCCUAUAUUCUACCUUUGGUUGUUACGGUUUCAUAGUUUGGCAUCUUCCUUUGCCCCUCAAAUGGUUCAUUUUGAGGCAAAUGUGAUACCCAAUCUAUGUAUUGAGCAAGCAAACACAAGGAUGGCAUUAACACCAUGACUACUCACUCCCAAGAGGUACAAACAACAAUGCCUUUGAAUUUGUUUAGCCAUUAUGCAUUUCCUGAAUAUUUUCUGAAGAAUUUAUCUCAUUAAGCUGGCUGGAAGUCAUAUCUGAAUAUUUCCUCAAUAUUUUCAAAUUGCUGGUUCUUCCUGUGUUCUCAAAAUUUGGCAGAAGUUAAAUAUUUUGCAAAUCAGAAAUUUUUUGGUGUUGAUUAAUGAUUUAUAAGAUUGAAUUGCUUCAAUUGUUAAGCAAAUAUAGUCGCAUGUAUUUCAGCUGUUCAAACAUGUGACCUGCCUUGGGGGCAUGGGAUUUGCCUAGUUGUACUGGUUGCAGGUCUUGGCCCUCAUUGGUGGUUGUAAAUUUGGUUUGAAGUGUAUUUCUUGUAAUAUUCUAUGGGCGGUGAAGCUGAAGGUGCUGUGGCGUCUCGAUUGCUCUUUCCAAUCUCAUGUUUAGGUCCGUGGCUUUGAUUCAGCGCAUUAUCUGAGUGGUGUGCCGUUGGCUGACAUGGCGACGAUUGGCGUAUUGGAUACUGUGCUUGGAGAUUUGGUUGGAUAGAAGGGCGUGAAAAAAUGAAUCAAAGGUGGGAAUCCAGGAUCGAAGUGCGUCAAGAUCAAAGGCAUAGGAUGUCCUAUGAUUGUCAGCUGACCUUAGCCAUGUUAGUUCUUCACGGGGAAUCAACAUCUCGCUGUUGUAUGGUUCGCUUCACAUCUUUUCGAGGUAUUUAUGACGUAUGCGAGGAUAAUCUUGGCAAUGACCAAGCUAAUGUGGAAUUAGCCCAUCAUUAUCCACUCCAAGAGGUGGGGAAUCUCACGAUUUUUAGUGGAGGCUACAUUGGCUUUGUUUUGCUGUCACUCUGGUGAGUUCAUGGACUCUGAUUCAACCCAGCAUCUUGUUGGAGAUCCUGAUUCUUCUAUGGAAGUUGUAUAUCGAUGCAGAUGGUGAAGGCUUGAAGCAUUGUUGCUGUAUUCUAUUUCCCUCUCAAUUCCUGGUGAUAUCUGAUUCUUUCUGGUUCUGGUUCUUUCCUCGUCUAGCUAGUUGUGUUAGACUUGAAAGUCUCCAAAUGCAUCGCUUUCGUCCUGUUUUUUAGUUCUGUUCUGAAGUUUUUUCUUUGUUGACGUGUCGGAUGCUUUAGUUUCCAUGCCGUUUCUUUUGUAACUCACCACAUGGAAAUUUCAUAGUAGAUUCAUGAGAGUAUUAACAACUGGAAUAUAUUGUCCUAGUGUGAUGGAGCAAAGCUACUUUGCCCCCGAAUGCAACGAUGGCAGUAGUGCGUGAUGGUCACUUUGGGAUAGUUGCAGUUGGCAUAUUGUUAUUUACAGAGUUGCAAGCAUCAUGCGUUUGAGGCUGGAGUUGCAUUGGAGUUUAGAGUUUUGAGAUAGAGACAAUAUUAUGGGCAUGUAUUGUCACCUGGUUGCCAGGUACUAAAAUUUCCGUAAACGUAAAUUGGCGGUUGUGGCCUAUUCGGUCAUGUUAUAGUCUUUUUGCUGCUUAUAUUGAG
Long non-coding RNA from Rhododendron vialii, 4804 nucleotides. RefSeq lists it as uncharacterized. Lineage: Eukaryota; Viridiplantae; Streptophyta; Magnoliopsida; Ericales; Ericaceae. The transcript is spliced from 6 exons. The record is from RefSeq and is a predicted model, not a curated record.